GAUGAAGAACGUAGCGAAAUGCGAUACUUGGUGUGAAUUGCAGAAUCCCGUGAACCAUCGAGUCUUUGAACGCAAGUUGCGCCCGAAGCCACUAGGCCGAGGGCACGCCUGCCUGGGCGUCACACGCCGUUGCCCCCCCAUCUACUCCUUCGGGAUUGCGGGGGGGCGGAUGAUGGCCUCCCGUGCGCCUAGCCGCGCGGUUGGCAUAAAUACCAAGUCCUCGGCGACGCACGCCACGACAAUCGGUGGUUGCGAAACCUCGGUUGCCCGUCGUGUGCGUUCGUCGCGCAUCGAGGGCUCGAAAAAAUGCUCGGCUCCGGCUGGGCUUUCAACGCGACCCCAGGUCAGGCGGGGUUACCCGCUGAAUUUAAGCAUAUCAUAAGCGGGGA
Molecule: unclassified non-coding RNA, 389 nt
Filed under: soil metagenome
Description: partial contains 5.8S ribosomal RNA, internal transcribed spacer 2, and large subunit ribosomal RNA
Rfam family: 5.8S ribosomal RNA (bases 1-122)
Source: RNAcentral